This 433-nucleotide ribosomal RNA is filed under the name uncultured bacterium. Its description in RNAcentral is "partial 16S ribosomal RNA". It matches the Rfam family "Bacterial small subunit ribosomal RNA", at positions 29 to 507 of the family's 1533-position model. The record is from RNAcentral.
AGCGAACGCUGGCGGCAGGCCUAACACAUGCAAGUCGAACGAACUCUUCGGAGUUAGUGGCGGACGGGUGAGUAACACGUGGGAACGUGCCUUUAGGUUCGGAAUAACUCAGGGAAACUUGUGCUAAUACCGAAUGUGCCCUUCGGGGGAAAGAUUUAUCGCCUUUAGAGCGGCCCGCGUCUGAUUAGCUAGUUGGUGAGGUAAAGGCUCACCAAUGCGACGAUCAGUAGCUGUUCUGAGAGGAUGAUCAGCCACAUUGGGACUGAGACACGGCCCAAACUCCUACGGGAGGCAGCAGUGGGGAAUCUUGCGCAAUGGGCGAAAGCCUGACGCAGCCAUGCCGCGUGAAUGAUGAAGGUCUUAGGAUUGUAAAAUUCUUUCACCGGGGACGAUAAUGACGGUACCCGGAGAAGAAGCCCCGGCUAACUUCGUG